GUCUUGGUGGUAUAGUGGUGAGCAUAGCUGCCUUCCAAGCAGUUGACCAGGGUUCAAUUCUCAACCAAUGCA
Molecule: transfer RNA, 72 nt
Organism: Pelodiscus sinensis (Chinese soft-shelled turtle)
Lineage: Eukaryota; Metazoa; Chordata; Testudines; Trionychidae
Rfam family: tRNA
About the family: Transfer RNA (tRNA) molecules are approximately 80 nucleotides in length. Their secondary structure includes four short double-helical elements and three loops (D, anti-codon, and T loops).
Source: Rfam